CUAGAUAACAUAGGGGAAUUGUUUUUUGUUUAUCAUAUGAUUAUGAUAAUUGUCGUUGGAUUGAGUGAUGACUAAAACAACACAUAAAUAACCAAUUGGUAUUCUUGUUUUUUUUUUUUUUUAAAGAGUUUCUACCAUGUUAAUAUUACAUCAAUCCGUAUAUACAUGAACUCCGAUGAAUAUAGUGAACAGAGCUAUUCCAACUUAAGUUGAAUCUUGUUAUAGCUUAGACAAGGGAUCCCGAUUUGCCAAAUUGUCAACCUCCUCGAAUACGAUCCAUGCCAACAUCCCUAGUUAAUGAUACACCACACCACUUUCCAAAAUGGUUAAUGUAAGCAAACACUUCACAGAAUGUUCCCUGAGUCAACGCUUUACACACAUACAAUCAAACAAAAUUCAAGAUGCAGCUUCUUUCUUCAUGCACAAAUAGUUAGAUACGCAACGAUCUUGAGACAGUUAAUUAUAAUUCUAUCGACUCCUAACUAAUUCAAAUUCUUACAACCAACAUAUGCUACGUAAUGCCGACUCCUAAACAUGCAGACAUUGGAACACAUGCAAUCAUUAAGACAGAUAUUGAGAUAUAGAUAAGAGAGAAGCCUGAGGACAAGAACAUCGUUAUUUAAGUUAAUCUGGAUCACUAGCCAGAAAUCACACCUGCCACAUGGAAAGCUUGAGAAAUAUUAUUAUAUCAGUACAUAAAGGUUAUUUAAGUUAAUCUGGAUCACUAGCCAGAAACAACGAUCAAGUAUCGGCAUCAAUAUGUCCAGUGUUAUUCAACAUACCCUGUUGUCUUCAGGUUCCUGAAAGAAAUGAUGAAUUCCCUAUGCACACAAGAGACCAGACAAACAACAAGAGAUAACCUUGCCCUCAAGAGCAAGAGGGAG
This 884-nucleotide long non-coding RNA is filed under the name Capsella rubella. Its description in RNAcentral is "long non-coding RNA (CRUB_LNC000998)". Lineage: Eukaryota; Viridiplantae; Streptophyta; Magnoliopsida; Brassicales; Brassicaceae. The record is from RNAcentral.